CAGACCUCCUAGCAAGUGGUGGAACAAGUAUUCAGAUCCUUUGCUUCAGUAAAAGCACUAAUACCACGUGGUAAAAAUGUUCUUUUACAAUUUAAAG
Etheostoma cragini (Arkansas darter) is the source of this 97-nucleotide long non-coding RNA. RefSeq lists it as uncharacterized. Lineage: Eukaryota; Metazoa; Chordata; Actinopteri; Perciformes; Percidae. The record is from RefSeq and is a predicted model, not a curated record. The transcript is spliced from 3 exons.